GUGCUUGGUUUUCCAUUCUUGUGUCAGUUUGCUGAGAAUGAGGGUUUGCAGAUUCACCCAUGUCCCAACAAAGGACAUGAACUCAUCCUUUUUAUGGCUGCAUAGUAUUCUAUGGUAUAUAUGUGCCACAUUUUCCCUGUCCAGUCUAUCAUUAUUAUCAUUAUUAUUAUUAUUAUUAUUAUUAAUUUGCCAAGGUUAUCACUGGCUGGGCUUCAGCCACAAAAUCAUCCCUAAUUGAGGACACCUCAUGUCCACCAAUGAAGCCACCACCACCAUCAAGUGAUGAAUGACCCCUUGCCAGCAAUGUCUCCACUCUCCCUGCUCCCACUUUCCCCAGGCAACGGCCCAUCUGUUUCCCAUCAUUGUGGAUUCAGCUUACGUUUUCUAGGCUUUUACAGAGCUAGAAUCGCACAGCAGGUACCUCUGGGCGGGUCUGGGCUUCACUAAGCCGCGUGAUUUCGAGGCUGCCUCGGACUGUGUGAGUGUCCGCAAGGAUGACUGUGGGGCUCCGCGUUGCCUCCCGCUGCGUGGACGUUCCGUGCUUGGGUUCGCCUCCGCUGUUUCCGGUUUGUUCCCAGCUGUUUCCGGUUUGUUCCCAGCUGUUUCCGGUUUGGUCCCGCCUGUUUCCGGUUUGGGGCUGUGACAGGCAAAGCUGUUACAGCCAUGCUGAGACCUUCUGCGGACACGAGCUUCCAUUCCUCCCGGUGGAGUCUCACUUUGUCACCCAGGAUGGAGUACAUCAGCACGAUCUCCACUCACUGCAACCUCCACCUGCAGGGUUCAAGCAAUUCUCCUCCUCAGCCUCCAGAGUAGCUAGGACUGCAGGUGCGGGCCACCAUGCCAGGCUAAUUUUUUUUUUUUUAAUUUUUAGUAGAGACGGGGUUUUACCAUGCUGGCCAGACUGGUCUCGAACUCCUGACCUCAUGAUCUGCCCACCUUGGCCUCCCAAAGUGCUGGGAUUACAGGCAUGAGCCACCGGACCCAGCCGGGAAACGUUCUCUUUCACAUCAAUUUUCACAGGGCUGCUUCCUAUGUGGAUUGCUGCAGUGUCAAAUUCUAUUUAACUCUUUCCUCUUGACUGUACCCACGAAUAACACAUUUGCAUCAUAGAAAUGAACCCACAGUAAACUUCCAGAAAACCUACUAUGCUAAUUUAUUUGCUCUCCAUUCACAUGACUUCAGAUCUUCACUGCCAGUUCUGCUCACUUGGAAGAAUUCUGAAUCUGCAGGGUGGGUCUGGGAGUGCUGGAGAACUGACCCAGAAUCUUGAAG
Molecule: long non-coding RNA, 1272 nt
Filed under: Callithrix jacchus (white-tufted-ear marmoset)
Lineage: Eukaryota; Metazoa; Chordata; Mammalia; Primates; Cebidae
Description: lncRNA (ENSCJAG00000074649.1)
Source: RNAcentral